CCUACGGGUGGCUGCAGUGAGGAAUAUUGGUCAAUGGACGAGAGUCUGAACCAGCCAAGUAGCGUGAAGGAUGACUGCCCUAUGGGUUGUAAACUUCUUUUAUAUGGGAAUAAAAUGUUCCACGUGUGGGAUUUUGUAUGUAUCAUAUGAAUAAGGAUCGGCUCACUCCGUGCCAGCAGCCGCGGUAAUACGGAGGAUCCGAGCGUUAUCCGGAUUUAUUGGGUUUAAAGGGAGCGUAGGUGGAUUGUUAAGUCAGUUGUGAAAGUUUGCGGCUCAACCGUAGAAUUGCAGUUGAAACUGGCAGUCUUGAGUACAGUAGAGGUGGGCGGAAUUCAUGGUGUAGCGGUGAAAUGCUUAGAUAUCACGAAGAACUCCGAUUGCGAAGGCAGUUCACUGGACUGCAACUGACGCUGAGGCUCGAAAGUGUGGGUAUCAAACAGGAUUAGAUACCCUAGUAGUC
Molecule: ribosomal RNA, 460 nt
Filed under: uncultured bacterium
Lineage: Bacteria
Description: partial 16S ribosomal RNA
Rfam family: Bacterial small subunit ribosomal RNA
Source: RNAcentral